CCUACGGGAGGCUGCAGUGAGGAAUAUUGGUCAAUGGACGCAAGUCUGAACCAGCCAUGCCGCGUGCAGGAAGACGGCUCUAUGAGUUGUAAACUGCUUUUGUACGAGGGUAAAUCCCGAUACGUGUAUCGGGUUGCAAGUAUCGUACGAAUAAGGAUCGGCUAACUCCGUGCCAGCAGCCGCGGUAAUACGGAGGAUUCAAGCGUUAUCCGGAUUUCUUGGGUUUAAAGGGUGCGUAGGCGGUUCGAUAAGUUAGAGGUGAAAUCCCGGGGCUCAACUCCGGCACUGCCUCUGAUACUGUCGGGCUAGAGUUUAGUUGCGGUAGGCGGAAUGUAUGGUGUAGCGGUGAAAUGCAUAGAGAUCAUACAGAACACCGAUUGCGAAGGCAGCUUACCAAACUACGACUGACGUUGAGGCACGAAAGCGUGGGGAGCAAACAGGAUUAGAUACCCGGGUAGUC
This 460-nucleotide ribosomal RNA is filed under the name uncultured bacterium. RNAcentral describes it as "partial 16S ribosomal RNA". It matches the Rfam family "Bacterial small subunit ribosomal RNA", at positions 338 to 795 of the family's 1533-position model. The record is from RNAcentral.